CAAAUCUGAAAAAAAGACGUCCCUAGUUCGGAUUGUAGGCUGAAACUCGCCUACAUGAAGCUGGAGUUGCUAGUAAUCGCGAAUCAGCAUGUCGCGGUGAAUACGUUCCCGGGCCUUGUACACACCGCCCGUCACACCAUGAGAGUUGGCAAUACCCAACGUACGUGAUCUAACCCGCAAGGGAGGAAGCGUCCUAAGGUAGGGUCAGCGAUUGGGGUGAAGUCGUAACAAGGUAUC
This 237-nucleotide ribosomal RNA is filed under the name uncultured bacterium. Its description in RNAcentral is "partial 16S ribosomal RNA". It matches the Rfam family "Bacterial small subunit ribosomal RNA", at positions 1268 to 1500 of the family's 1533-position model. The record is from RNAcentral.